Molecule: ribosomal RNA, 200 nt
Filed under: uncultured eukaryote
Lineage: Eukaryota
Description: partial 18S ribosomal RNA
Rfam family: Eukaryotic small subunit ribosomal RNA
Source: RNAcentral
GCUCCAAUAGCGUAUAUUUAAGUUGUUGCAGUUAAAAAGCUCGUAGUCGGAUUUCGGGCAGGUGUCAGCGGUCCGCCUUUGGGUGAGUACUGCUGAUGCUUGCCUUUCUGUCGGGGACGGGCUCCUGGGCUUCACUGUCCGGGACUCGGAGUCGGCGAGGUUACUGUGAGUAAAUUAGAGUGUUCAAAGCAGGCCUACGC